RNAcentral lists this ribosomal RNA (429 nucleotides) under uncultured bacterium. RNAcentral's name for it is "bacterial SSU rRNA". It matches the Rfam family "Bacterial small subunit ribosomal RNA", at positions 31 to 526 of the family's 1533-position model. The record is from RNAcentral.
AUGGAACGCUGGCGGUGCGUCUAACACAUGCAAGUCGACUGGGCAAUGCUCAGGGCGUCCGGGUGAGUAAUAGACAGGAAGACUACCCAAAGGAAAAACCAAGGGAGAGAGUCCCCCGAAUGUUUGGAAAGGAAGCAUCCGCCUUUGGAGGGUCCUGUUUCGGAUUAGGUCGUAGGUGGUUUGUGCCCAUCCUAGCCGAUGAUCCGUCGCUGGUAUGAGAGUAUGAUCAGCCACACUGGAACUGAAAAGGGUUCAGACCUGAAAUCAGGGCAGCAGUGAAGAAUCUUGCACACUGGGGGAAACCCUGAUGCAGCGACACCGCGUGAAGGAGGUUGACAGCGCACUGUUGUAAACUUCAAGACUUUCUCCUAUGAUGAAGGAAAAAAAGAGAAGCCCCGGCAAACUUCGUGCCAGCCGCCGCCGUAACAC